UACGUAGGGUGCGAGCGUUAAUCGGAAUUACUGGGCGUAAAGCGUGCGCAGGCGGCUUUGCAAGACAGAUGUGAAAUCCCCGGGCUUAACCUGGGAACUGCAUUUGUGACUGCAUGGCUGGAGUGCGGCAGAGGGGGAUGGAAUUCCGCGUGUAGCAGUGAAAUGCGUAGAGAUCCGGAGGAACACCGACGGCGCAGGCAGCGUCCUGGCCGCUUGCUGACACUGAGGCACGAAAGCUGGGGGAGCGAAUGGG
This 253-nucleotide ribosomal RNA is filed under the name uncultured bacterium. Its description in RNAcentral is "partial 16S ribosomal RNA". It matches the Rfam family "Bacterial small subunit ribosomal RNA", at positions 524 to 776 of the family's 1533-position model. The record is from RNAcentral.